UGGGGCGUCGCCAAGCGGUAAGGCACGGGACUUUGACUCCCGCAUUCGAAGGUUCGAUUCCUUCCGCCCCAGCCA
RNAcentral lists this transfer RNA (75 nucleotides) under Clostridiales bacterium. Its description in RNAcentral is "tRNA-Gln". It matches the Rfam family "tRNA". From Rfam's summary of the family: Transfer RNA (tRNA) molecules are approximately 80 nucleotides in length. Their secondary structure includes four short double-helical elements and three loops (D, anti-codon, and T loops). Further hydrogen bonds mediate the characteristic L-shaped molecular structure. tRNAs have two regions of fundamental functional importance: the anti-codon, which is responsible for specific mRNA codon recognition, and the 3' end, to which the tRNAs corresponding amino acid is attached (by aminoacyl-tRNA synthetases). tRNAs cope with the degeneracy of the genetic code in two manners: having more than one tRNA (with a specific anti-codon) for a particular amino acid; and 'wobble' base-pairing, i.e. permitting non-standard base-pairing at the 3rd anti-codon position. The record is from RNAcentral. Lineage: Bacteria; Bacillati; Bacillota; Clostridia; Eubacteriales. RNAcentral also lists the same sequence under 1 other name.